AGCAGCCGCGGUAAUUCCAGCUCCAAUAGCGUAUAUUAAAGUUGUUGUGGUUAAAAAGCUCGUAGUUGAACCUUGGGCCUGGCUGGCCGGUCCGCCUCACCGCGUGUACUGGUCCGGCCGGGCCUUUCCCUCUGUGGAACCCCAUGCCCUUCACUGGGUGUGGCGGGGAAACAGGACUUUUACUUUGAAAAAAUUAGAGUGCUCCAGGCAGGGCUAUGCUCGAAUACAUUAGCAUGGAAUAAUAGAAUAGGACGUGUGGUUCUAUUUUGUUGGUUUCUAGGACCGCCGUAAUGAUUAAUAGGGACAGUCGGGGGCAUCAGUAUUCAAUUGUCAGAGGUGAAAUUCUUGGAUUUAUUGGAGACUAACUACUGCGAAAGCAUUUGCCAAGGAUGUUUUCAUUAAUCAGGAACGAAAGUUAGGGGAUCGAAGACGAUCAGAUACCGUCGUAGUCUUAACCAUAAACUAUGCCGACUAGGGAUCGGACGAUGUUAUUUUUGACUCGUUCGGCACCUUACGAGGA
This 520-nucleotide unclassified non-coding RNA is filed under the name uncultured Paraglomus. Its description in RNAcentral is "SSU rRNA". It matches the Rfam family "Eukaryotic small subunit ribosomal RNA", at positions 569 to 1096 of the family's 1831-position model. Lineage: Eukaryota; Fungi; Glomeromycota; Glomeromycetes; Paraglomerales; Paraglomeraceae. The record is from RNAcentral.